Molecule: small RNA, 118 nt
Filed under: Marmota monax (woodchuck)
Lineage: Eukaryota; Metazoa; Chordata; Mammalia; Rodentia; Sciuridae
Source: RNAcentral
ACCAGGUGUGGUGGCACAUGCCUGUGAUCCCAGCCACUCUGGAGGCUGAGGCAGGAGAAUCACAAAAGCCAGCCUCAACAAGAGAGGCCCUAAGCAGCUCAGUGAGACCCUGUCUCUA